UACGUAGGGUGCGAGCGUUAAUCGGAAUUACUGGGCGUAAAGCGUGCGCAGGCGGUUCGUUGUGUCGGUGGUGAAAGCCCCGGGCUUAACCUGGGAAUGGCCAUGGAAACUGGCGAACUGGAGUGUGGCAGAGGGGGGUGGAAUUCCGCGUGUAGCAGUGAAAUGCGUAGAGAUGUGGAGGAACACCGAUGGCGAAGGCAGCCUCCUGGGCCAGCACUGACGCUCAUGCACGAAAGCGUGGGGAGCAAACAGG
This 253-nucleotide ribosomal RNA is filed under the name uncultured bacterium. Its description in RNAcentral is "partial 16S ribosomal RNA". It matches the Rfam family "Bacterial small subunit ribosomal RNA", at positions 524 to 776 of the family's 1533-position model. The record is from RNAcentral.